RNAcentral lists this small RNA (284 nucleotides) under Pseudanabaenococcus habilitatus PCC 7502. RNAcentral describes it as "Synechococcus sp. PCC 7502 5' ureB small RNA". It matches the Rfam family "5' ureB small RNA". The record is from Rfam by way of RNAcentral. Lineage: Bacteria; Bacillati; Cyanobacteriota; Cyanophyceae; Pseudanabaenales; Pseudanabaenaceae.
UUCUAUUUGUUGAGGACAGAUAAAAUGAAUGUGAGAAUCUAUGCCGCCUGCGGUCAGAAUUAAACCUUCCCCAGCGAUCGCUUCGGUACCAGGUCCGAUAAUAAUAUCCACAUUGUCUUGAAUGUAGGGAUUUCCCGCUUUGCCAAUCUUAAAAAUUUUGCCGUCCUUGAUGCCCACAUCAGCUUUGACAAUACCCCACCAAUCUAAAAUUAAGGCAUUGGUAAUUACCGCAUCCACAGCCCCGUCCGCAUUGGUAAUCGGUGAUUGUCCCAUGCCAUCCCGAA